This 1411-nucleotide unclassified non-coding RNA is filed under the name Hevea brasiliensis (rubber tree). The record is from RNAcentral. Lineage: Eukaryota; Viridiplantae; Streptophyta; Magnoliopsida; Malpighiales; Euphorbiaceae.
GUGGUAUCAGAGCACGGUUUAGGCCUUUCUGGACCUAGAUAGUUUGCAUAUCAUGCAUUGCAUUGUAAGUGUUAAGAUGACUCUAAUGUAGAUCUUUUGAUUUGUUAUUUUAAUCAGAAUAUGGACUCCACAUUGUAAAAAGCGGUCGAUGAGGAGAUGGAGAGUCAUGCUCCAUCUAUGACUGAACCAGGAGACAGGAGGGAACCUGCUCCACCAGUACCAGAUGCAACAGCCGCAUUUCAGCAAAUGGCUGAGUUCUUUAGACAGAUGGCAGGAGUUAUGCCACUACCACCACCUCCACAUAAAAAAUCUCAUAUGGAGAAACUCAGGAAGUUCGGAGCAGUGGAUUUUCUGGGUAAAAGGGAAGAUUCUGUCACAGCUGAAAACUGGUUGGACAGAACUGGAAGAGUUUUGAAACAACUUCAUUGUACUCUAGAGCAGAAUUUGGAACCUACUGUAUCACUACUGCAAGAUGAUGCAUACCAAUGGUGGGAUACAGUGACUAGUGAGGUGCCACCAGAACAAAUAAAUUGAGAUUUCUUUCUCACUGAGUUCAGAAAGAAGUAUGUGGGCAGUGUAUACCUAGAAGAGAAAAGAAGAAAAAUUUAUUACCCUACGCCAGAGACAGCUAAUAGUGGCUGAUAUGAAAGAGAAUUUAUUAGACUGAGCCGCUAUGGGCGAGAAAUAAUCCCUAAUGAGGCAGAGAGAUGCAAGAGAUUUGAGGAAGGACUCAAUGAUAACAUUAAAGUAAUGAUUACAACCUUGGGGAUUACAGAGUUUGCCAAAUUAGUGGAAGCUGCACUGAAGGUUGAAAAAGUUAGAAUGAAUGAGCAGAACAGAAGGGACAGACAGCAGAAAAGAGGUUAGGGUCAGACCGGUACAUCUUCUGCCCCUCGCAAGAAAUUCAGAAGUUGGCCUACUCAGAGUUUCAGUAAAGCACCAAGUCAGGGUCAGUCACAGAGGCCCAAAUCUCAGUUUGCACCAAGGAGAGGCCAAUCUACACCUUCAGUGGCUAGCUCUCCAGGGACAGGGUUCAGGGGACUAGCCCCAACAGUAUCUGUUGCUUGCCCACAUUGCCAAAAAUGGCAUAAGGGGGAAUGUUGGAGGAUGAUAGGUGCUUUUUUACGGUGUGGGUCUACAGACCACCUAAUCCAAGAUUGCCGGCGCAGAACUGCUACAUCCACUCCAGUAUCAACUGAUAGGCCUGCCCCUCCAUCUCCAAGGGGUAGAAAGCCGGGUAAGGCUGAGGCAGCCAGUACUUCACCGAAACCUGUAUCAGAGUUUGUAGAGAGAGCAGAAGGUAGAAAACCAGCCAGAGCCUAUGCUAUAAGGGCACAGGAGGAACAGGAUGCUCCAGAUGUCAUCAAGGGUACGUUCCUCCUUUAUAAUACUUCUGUGCAUACAUUAGUGG